AGUUCCCCUCCCUGGUGUUCAUUCUAGCUCCUGUCAGGCGUCUCAUCUGGUUUCGCUUCCUAAUUGUCACAGCUGCUUUCAAUUUUUGUGACAAACUCUAGAAAGUAUUUAGUCUACCAGCUUCUCUAUCUCACCCCUAUCAGGGCGUGGACUUGGUCCCAGCGGAGGAUGACCUUGGAGUUGGAAGUGUUCCACCUGAUCUUGACUGGGGCUUGACUAGGUGCUUAGACAGGACAAGAGCGGGGGAGGAAGAAAAACAGCAGGCAGUCCAGUCAACACACAAUCCAGAAUCAGCUCAGCAUGAAGGAGAUUUCUCAUUAUCACUUCAUCACUCCACUGUUCGGAGCUCGCAGUGACAAAUAUAUUGUGGGGGUGGGACAACCUCACAUCCGGCAGAUAAAUCCACCGCCAACAAGGAGAUGAAGAAAUAUAAGCAAAAUUGACCAUGUUCCACUUUCAUUUACUUAUAAAUAUAACAAAGAAAAAGUCUUU
Long non-coding RNA from Oryzias melastigma (Indian medaka), 492 nucleotides. RefSeq lists it as uncharacterized. The record is from RefSeq and is a predicted model, not a curated record. NCBI's taxonomy places the organism in Eukaryota, Metazoa, Chordata, Actinopteri, Beloniformes, Adrianichthyidae. The transcript is spliced from 2 exons.